RNAcentral lists this non-coding RNA (220 nucleotides) under Anoxybacteroides amylolyticum. RNAcentral's name for it is "Anoxybacillus amylolyticus T-box sequence". It matches the Rfam family "T-box leader". From Rfam's summary of the family: Uncharged tRNA acts as the effector for transcription antitermination of genes in the T-box leader family. T-boxes are found upstream of many aminoacyl-tRNA synthetase genes and some amino acid biosynthetic genes usually in Gram-positive bacteria. The record is from RNAcentral. Lineage: Bacteria; Bacillati; Bacillota; Bacilli; Caryophanales; Anoxybacillaceae.
AGAAAAGCGAUGACAGGAAUGAGUAGUGGUUAUCUCCCUGUUUUAGAGAGCUGGUGGUCGGUGCGAACCAGUACAAAGAUAAGCGCGAAUUACCUCCUCGAGCUUCUUUUGCGAACGGCGCUGCUCAGUAGCAAAAGACGGUCAGGCCGUUAUUUAAAGGAAGUGAGAGAGCGUUUGCUCUCUAAGUAGGGUGGUACCGCGAAUUACACUCGUCCCUUCA